RNAcentral lists this ribosomal RNA (253 nucleotides) under uncultured bacterium. Its description in RNAcentral is "partial 16S ribosomal RNA". It matches the Rfam family "Bacterial small subunit ribosomal RNA", at positions 524 to 776 of the family's 1533-position model. The record is from RNAcentral.
UACAGAGGUCUCAAGCGUUGUUCGGAUUCAUUGGGCGUAAAGGGCGCGUAGGCGGCGGGGUAAGUCGGGUGUGAAAUCUCAGAGCUCAACUCUGAAACUGCACUCGAUACUGCUCUGCUUGAGGACUGGAGAGGAGACUGGAAUUCACGGUGUAGCAGUGAAAUGCGUAGAUAUCGUGAGGAAGACCAGUGGCGAAGGCGGCUCACUGGCCCGAUACUGACGCUGAGGUGCGAAAGCGUGGGGAGCAAACAGG